Molecule: ribosomal RNA, 1580 nt
Filed under: Triticum aestivum (bread wheat)
Lineage: Eukaryota; Viridiplantae; Streptophyta; Magnoliopsida; Poales; Poaceae
Description: partial small subunit ribosomal RNA
Source: RNAcentral
GGCGUUCCCCUGCCGCCGCCUCCUAUGUGAACAUCUUCUUCACAUCUCCCACCGCAGCAGUCUCCUGGCGCCGCCUCCGAUCUUUGCAUCUUCUUCACAUCUAUCUCCGGAUAUACCAAAACAAGGAGGAAGUAGAGAGGAAGGGGUGUCAUGGCUAGCCGGUUUGUGAAUCUCGCGGUCAAGCACAUGAACGGCCGCCAUAUUCCUUUCAGCAUACACCGUAUUAAUCCGGCAGAUUUCUUUUACCCAACCGGAUCGCCAGUUCCCAAACAAGGUUCAGCUUUUGUACCACCGGACGAAAUUCAGCUGCCUCCGGCCACCAUCGCCUUCGACUGGCCCUCCCGGCAGGGCCAACCCUGCUCAAUGGAUUUCAUGGCCUUCGGCGCCAACCGGGAUAAGAUCGUCGCCGUGGACAGCAUAGGGUGCUCCUACCUUUACGACGCUCCCGUACGCAGUAUCAGCACCAAUAUGCCCAUGAUGCCCACGCGCAUGCUACAACCCAUGUCCAUUGCUGUCGGUGACAACGGCCUGUUAGUUAUGAGUAAAGCCGAUCACCAGUUCGUGGCUCUGAAUGAUGGCUGCGACCCCAAUUCCAGAUAUUUAUUACCAAUGUCUGGCUGGUACUGGCAGUCCCUCAAGCCGCCUCCCUUCCCCAGCCGCUCCUACCACCAGAACGAGAAAGGCAGUCACCAUCCAUUUGAAGUCAGCUCUUACACGGUAGUUGGCAAUUCACAGUUCUGGGUGUCCACAGUGGGUGCAGGCACGUUUUCCUUUGAUAUGAACAGCGGUGCGUGGAUGAAGGCUGGCAAUUGGGAGCUGCCAUUCAGAGGUCGUGCCGAGUAUGUCCCCGAGCACAAUCUCUGGUUUGGCAUGUUUGGCAAAGACGACCAGCUUUGCGCAUCUGACCUCAUUGCCGUGUCCGCAGUGAGCUCACCAGUGCCACAUAUACUUUGGAAAGAGCUGGUUUGGCCGAAAGAUUGGAAGCUCAGGUCGACCCACCUCCUGCCUCUUGGUUCUAGCAGACUCUGCAUUGCCAGGUUCUUCCUAACUUCAGAUGAUGACAAGGAAGAGAACAUGUCAGACUAUAAGCGCAGCACAACAAAUAAUUUUGGGGUGCUCACGGGGGUGGAAGUGGUGUCUGAUGAAGGAGGACUGCGCAUUAUCCAUCACAAGUCCAUUCGCUUCGAUUUCGGCCUCAGCAUUGCUAGUGUGCUGUGAUACGUUGACUCCUCUAGUGCAGGUACGGAAUUGGAGAAAGCUUGGCUGCAUGCUGGUCGGGUAUCACCAUGUCGGGAGUAGUAACCACAAGGCACACACUUGUGAUGCUACCCUUUGUUAUUGAUAAUAUGAGUCCUUAGCUAUCUGUUCAACUAAAAAAAAAGUUGUUAUCUGUUGGACAUGUUUGUGAGAUUGUAUAAUUACAUAUGUAUUAUGAAGUUGCUAGUUUCAGUAGAAUAGAAGUUUUGUAUCUUAGGGUACGCUAGGUUUUAGCCCAAGAUUGCCCUGUCGAAUAUUUGACUAAAAUUGCUCGGGAAAAAUGAAAUGUGGGCGAAGGGGCAUUGACAUGACGAAACAUUGGC